UGGCUUCGACGGCAAGUCGGAUGGUCUGGAAGGGCGGGUCGAGGACCCCGCAACCUCGAUAAACGGCGGGAACCCAACAAACGUCAACAACGAUUACGCUCUGGCCGCCUAGCGCGGUCACGUUGCCGCCGGGCCUUCCAUCGGCCCGGUGAGCGGCGUCACAAAAGAUGGAUGCUUCGUCGGAAGUGUCUCCGGUUCGACGGAAAAGACUCAGGGGGCUUGGAAUGACGGAUCCUGUUUCCGGGAGCCUGAAUUCGACAUUAAAUCGGAAACUACGCCCGUAGAACUUCCAUGAUCGGCCCUUGUCGGACCGGGGUUCAAUUCCCC
RNAcentral lists this transfer-messenger RNA (327 nucleotides) under Streptococcus pneumoniae. Its description in RNAcentral is "partial transfer-messenger RNA". It matches the Rfam family "transfer-messenger RNA". From Rfam's summary of the family: Bacterial tmRNA, also known as 10Sa RNA or SsrA, is named for its dual tRNA and mRNA-like properties. Lineage: Bacteria; Bacillati; Bacillota; Bacilli; Lactobacillales; Streptococcaceae. The record is from RNAcentral.